CGGCAUGCCUUANACAUGCAAGUCGAACGGCAGCACGGGAGCAAUCCUGGUGGCGAGUGGCGAACGGGUGAGUAAUAUAUCGGAACGUGCCCGGUCGUGGGGGAUAACGUAGCGAAAGCUACGCUAAUACCGCAUACGAUCUACGGAUGAAANCGGGGGAUCGCAAGACCUCGCGCGAUUGGAGCGGCCGAUAUCAGAUUAGGUAGUUGGUGAGGUAAAGGCUCACCAAGCCGACGAUCUGUAGCUGGUCUGAGAGGACGACCAGCCACACUGGGACCUGAGACACGGCCCAGACUCCUACGGGAGGCAGCAGUGGGGAAUUUUGGACAAUGGGCGCAAGCCUGAUCCAGCAAUGCCGCGUGCAGGAUGAAGGCCUUCGGGUUGUAAACUGCUUUUGUACGGAACGAAACGGUGAGCUCUAAUACAGUUUGCUAAUGACGGUACCGUAAGAAUAAGCACCGGCUAACUACGUG
RNAcentral lists this ribosomal RNA (473 nucleotides) under uncultured bacterium. Its description in RNAcentral is "bacterial SSU rRNA". It matches the Rfam family "Bacterial small subunit ribosomal RNA", at positions 40 to 507 of the family's 1533-position model. The record is from RNAcentral.